Molecule: ribosomal RNA, 225 nt
Filed under: Agelaia fulvofasciata
Lineage: Eukaryota; Metazoa; Arthropoda; Insecta; Hymenoptera; Vespidae
Description: partial small subunit ribosomal RNA
Source: RNAcentral
UUAUAUCAUUAAAUUUAAAAGAUUUGGCGGUAUUUUAAAUAAUUAGAGGAACCUGUGUAUGAAUUGAUGAUCCACGAUAAGAUUUACUUAAUUAUUUAUGUAUUGCUGUUUUAAAAUUAUUAUUAAUUAAAUUUUUUUAAAGUUAAAAUAAUUUAAUUCAAGUCAAAAUAUAGUAUAAUUAAGAUAUGGGUUACAUUUUAAUUUUGAAAUUGGAUUUAAUAGUAA